AGUCAGACCCGGGGAAUCUGGGCGCACCGAAUCUGGUCAGGCCUUGACGGGAGCAGCCAUAAGGAGCGCACGGGUGUCCCCGGCAAUCUGGCUGUC
RNAcentral lists this signal recognition particle RNA (96 nucleotides) under Planctomycetota bacterium. Its description in RNAcentral is "Planctomycetes bacterium signal recognition particle sRNA small type". It matches the Rfam family "Bacterial small signal recognition particle RNA". Rfam says of the family: The signal recognition particle (SRP) is a universally conserved ribonucleoprotein involved in the co-translational targeting of proteins to membranes. Lineage: Bacteria; Pseudomonadati; Planctomycetota. The record is from RNAcentral.